RNAcentral lists this long non-coding RNA (4618 nucleotides) under Bemisia tabaci. Its description in RNAcentral is "lncRNA ENSSSA1UGG012386". Lineage: Eukaryota; Metazoa; Arthropoda; Insecta; Hemiptera; Aleyrodidae. The record is from RNAcentral.
CUCAUUUCCCAACCUCAUGAAACUUGAGUUUAUUCAAUUUGUCUGGAUGGAAGUCCGCGUGUGUGUCUCGCCGUAGUGUUUCAAGGUCUUUCGUAUGCCGAAUUAAUUCACGUGGUCACGGUAAGAAUUUUACUCAGUAUAAUAUUUUACCAGCAUCCAAAGUACUUACGGAACGAAAGUUCCAAACUCGUUAUGCCUCGAGAUGCACCCCAUCCGAACCGAAUUCCAUUGUUCUGGGAACUGCAUGGCGAUUCUCGGAGCAGAACUUGAUCUUCCCAGAAAUUCUCGAUCACAUCUCUAUCUGAUCUUUUUCGAUUGGAAUUAUUGUUUCGGCCUAAAAUGCUGACGAGUUUGACCGUUCCUGGCGAACGUUUUGCUGCAUCGUCAAAUUAAAUGUGUUGAAUGAGCUAGUCUCUAUCACAUAUCACAUGCAUGCCAUGCUUUUAUCAGCCUCAUCUCGCUGGUCGUCGCUGAUUAUCAUUAUCAAAUUUCCUUGAGUGAUCUCACAAUGAACUCUUGAUCAGGCUGUUACGUGGACUGUGCCAAGUUCAGUUCUUUUACUCGAUCGUUUCUGGGAAGAUCCAGUACUGUGGAAGUCAUUUGUUGACUUUUAGGUUAUGAACAUGUGAAUUGUUAGAAUGCCACAAGUGACAAGUGUAGUAUUUAGAGAGCAAUUUCCUCUCGAAUGUGUGAUAUUGUCUCUGCCAUAGACUCACGUUCGUUUCAAGGCUCGCAGCGGCGCUGUUAUCGUUUUUUUCGGUGCGGGAAGUUGGAAGUUGCCCUGGAGUCAUUCCGGGAACCCAUCGUCGCCGUGCUGUCCUUAUCUCCGAGCUUCGAGGAAUCGAACAGGAAUCCUUCCCGAGGUAAGACAUUUUUCUCCCUUGAAGCUUUGACGGGCGCCUGUCUGUCGCCGCGCCGUGGCCGAUCGGCCGACCGGCCGGAAGUUGAAUCACACUCGGGUCGUGUUGCUGCAAUGAAAGUCAGCAAUAUCGCUAACACCCACCAGUAAUGAAAUUUUGUUUUUGUCGAUAGUUCGAUAAGCUUGGUUGCUCAAUCGCCGGUAGCCUCGCCUCAAUGGCGCCGCCUCCGGUGAUCGAUAAGCAUUACGCGAAUUUUUGUCUCGCUGAAAUUCGAAACUCCAGCCCUGUUCCAGUCUCCCCCUCCCUCUCCCUUUUACCUUUCAUCACGCAUUUGGUGCUUACGCUGGCCUGCAGCUCCUCCGAAAGUUUUGUCACGCUGCUAGACCCCUUUUUUCGUACACUGGAAAAAAGUCUCUUGGAUCCAGCGGGCUAAUUAUUGAAAUGGUUAGACUAAGCGCAGUGGCGUGGCGUGAACUGCGAUAUAUCGAUUGUUCUGCCAUUUAAGCCUAUGGAAAAGGAUCGAUAAACAGGGUGUUCGCAGCGAACACCUUAGUAAUCGAUUCUUUACCAUAGCUUCAAAUGGCGAGAUAUCGAUAAUCGAUCAUUCACGCCACGCCACUGACUAAGCGAUAGACCAAGAAGACUUAUCGACGGUGUAAGUCGGCAAUCACACAACUCGUUUGCGGUGUCUGAAAAUAUCCGCUUCUAUGUUUUUUUUUUUAAGGAAAACAAAUUGACAUUAUUCCUUGAAGUUUUUGCAGAAUUUUCUUCGCACCGAGAAGAAAAAUCACGGCAGUCUUAAAGAGUUGCCGUUGAGUAGUUUCCCGUUUAAAAAAUAAAGUACGACGGGAAGUCUAUGCGACGUCGCAAACCGAGUUAUGUGAUUGCCGACUUACACCGUCGAUAUGUAGUAUGGAGCAAUCUUUUUAGCCCUGGAUAGACGAUCAAAUUCCCGAACCAAUUCCGAUCAAAGUAACAUCAAAGUGUCGGGAGUCAUCAGUCUUAAACUCAUUAAUUUGCUUCAUUUUAAAAUGAAAACUUGGCAGAAAUGUUCCCUGUGGCAGGAAAUGAUGAAUGGUGGCACUCCGUUCUGAUCUUACUUUGAGCAAAAAAGUGCGGCCCAUCAAAAUUUGAUGGUAGAUGGUGACCACCAGUCAUCAGCAUGUCUACUUUGAUCGGAAUUGGUUCGGAAUUUGAUCGUCUAUCCAGGGCUUUUGGUUGAAAUAGGUGGUUCUAAUGGACUAAGGAAGAAAAAUAUGGACUAACUAGAGGGUGUCUCGUGGGGUGCGAUUAGUUAGUCUGAUACCUACCUCCUCUGUCAAUUACAAUCACCCGCUUCCACCAAUUGUAUCCCUUCAGUAUUCUUUGUCUCUCGCUUUGUCCAUUAAUUUCAAUAACGACAAGUAAACUCUUGAUUCAGUCGGAUUUCUGCUUCAAUCUAAAGGCAAUCCGCUCAAAUGAAGAGGCCUGGCACUCGAUUCAAGCCACAAGCUAGCAUUUAUAUAGUAGAUUUGGGAGCAUCGAAAGUUCCACAAAAAUGCAGCAAGUAAACCAGCGCAGCACAUCAACGUCGAACCCUCCAUGUCGAUUUCUCAUCCUGUGUUACUGUUCUCUCCCAUUUUCGACCCCGAAUUUUUCUAAUCAAUACAGAAAUAAUUUUGGUUAAGAUAGUGCCCAAUCAAUUGUUUACUUUGUCUGUCUGAACUUGGCGCAUGAUGCAACUGGACCGAGCGUGACGUAACUCGUGCAGUGUGCACUCGGAUGUCGGGUUUUUGAUUGACGGGUGCAUUUUGUAAUCAGCUGAAUUUCCUAGCGAUUAAUCAGGGAAUUCGGCCCGAAAAAGAAUGUGUAUUUUAAGAGGUCAUAGCAGCGCGAGCAACGCACAGUAGGUCGAGUCAAUUAGAGAGGUCGAACCUGAAAUUUUUUACUAUAAUUGCAAAUUUUAAUGCAGGGCGUCUACAAGUCCGGAAAGUCCGGAAAUAGUACUAAUUUUUAAGGGCGGUCCGGAACAACUGAAAAAGUGCGGGAAUUCCGCAAGAUGGUCCGGAAUUUUCUCAUUUUGUCGUCAUUUUAGAGUGAGAUUAGUGAGUCAAUUAGAGUGAGAAAUUCACAUUUUUGAAAUUUUUCAGAUUUCGUCAAAUGAAGGUACUGAAAAAGCACUGAAGAAUUUUGCUGUUGAGGAGGUUAUUGAAUUGCUUAGAAGUGCACUAAAAAAAGUACUGUAAAAGUACUGAUUUUUGACCAGCCUGUUUAGUAGACACCCUGUGAUGUCUAUUUCGUCACAUUUUAAACUCCAAGGGGUGCUUUAAAGAGAAAAUUUUACGAGGGUACCAAUGGAACCACAUUUAGAACCUCAAAAGUUCGCAGAAACGGAGUCAUAAGCUUUGAAAGUUUCCAAAUUUUGUCCGACCUCUCCUAUUGACUCGAUCCACGGUGCAUCGUGCAUCUUAAAGCGAGGAAUACAUCAAGUUUCUAAAAUUAUCUGAAUGGUUCCUCUCGCUGCAACGUGCUUCGUGCCUAGUCGUAGAUGUUUGAUGAUGUUCGGUGGUAGCUCGGUGCCGCACCGGAGAUAAGAUAUCUCUUUGUCCUCUAGUUGGACCGCGGCUUCAGAUAUUGCCAAACUUAAUUCGGCAAUUUAAUUUUUAUUACCUGAAAACGGAUGUGCGGAUUUUUGUGUAAAUUCCAGUGAAUUUUCUGCAUAGUACGAAGCAAAUUCCUCAAUAUUUUCAAUGGGAUCUGUAAAAACGUUCUCCUGUAAACAACUAAAUUGCUCAGUUAAAUUUGGCAAUAGCUGAUGUGGCUUGGUUCCUUUCUGCGGAACGCGGUCCAGUUGUGAGAUGCCGCACUGCUCAGGGUUGCUGCCUCGAAGAACUAGAUGAAGACAACCCCCUCUCCAUCCACCUCCCUUUCCUCCAGGGUAUUCGAUGCGAUGGCUGGGCCUUAGGAUCGAAUGUCGAGAUUCGAAAGGCUGCCUGUCGAAUGAUUCUAAGCAUAGAGAAAAAAAAGGAGAUCUUGAGGUUUGUUUACCCUGUGACGUAGGUCGGUGGCCAGCGAAAUCCGGAAUUCGAAGUAUGAAAAACGGACCAUAAUGUCCAUGUUUUUUGCUUAAAUAACUCAUGAUAUAAUUUCAAGCACUUUUUUAGAAUGACUUUUUUCCAUAAAUUACACCAUUUCCAAGAAAAUCGAUGAUAAAAGUCGCUGUACCGACCUACGUCAUUAAAAAAAUUCCAAGAUGCCCGAAAUGCAAACACCUCCUUUUUUUUCUCUAUGGAUUCUAAGCGACAAGUACCGUAGCAAAGAGAUUGCCACCUCGUCGAUCAAGUCCGUCUGGUCUGGUCGAAAUUUCAAAACAUCCUAAACACCACCAGGUAGUACGGAAACCAAAUGAGGUUUUAUGCUGAUGGUAUGUGUAAAAUGGAUUAAUUUGUCAUUAGGAACUAUGAAACCAACGUAAAUAAAAUCUAAAGCUUACUUUUUAUUUAAAUCAUUCGCAGCUAAAAUUGAAUUCAAAGUGUUAUAAAAAUUAAAUAGGCUGUCCGUUUGGGCCUUAUGACCCUCGUCAAAUAGUAUAUCCAUACUCUUUCGAUAAAACCACCCGAUUGGAGUUCUGGAUUUUUCGAUUAUGCCGGAACAUAGGUGGAUCCAGACACUACGAACGGGGGGGGGGGGGGGGGGUCCGGGGGGCUUCCCCCAAAAAAUUUAUGAAGAAAGUAUGUAAUUUACAGUUUUUAGUAAAUUUUGUCAUGAACUAUUACCAA